This 455-nucleotide ribosomal RNA is filed under the name uncultured bacterium. RNAcentral describes it as "bacterial SSU rRNA". It matches the Rfam family "Bacterial small subunit ribosomal RNA", at positions 29 to 517 of the family's 1533-position model. The record is from RNAcentral.
AACGAACGCUGGCGGCAUGCCUAACACAUGCAAGUCGAACGGGAUCCUAGCUUGCUAGGUGAGAGUGGCGGACGGGUGAGUAACACAUGGGAACCUGCCUUUUGGUUCGGGAUAACCGCGGGAAACUGCGGCUAAUACCGGAUGCCCUCGCGAGAGGAAAGAUUUAUCGCCAGAAGAGGGGCCCGCGUCCGAUUAGGUAGUUGGUGGGGUAAAGGCCUACCAAGCCGACGAUCGGUAGCUGGUCUGAGAGGAUGAUCAGCCACACUGGGACUGAGAUACGGCCCAGACUCCUACGGGAGGCAGCAGUGGGGAAUAUUGGACAAAUGGGGGGCAACCCUGAUCCAGCAAUGCCGCGUGAGUGAUGAAGGCCUUAGGGUUGUAAAGCUCUUUUGCCAGGGAAGAUGAUGACUGUACCUGGAGAAUAAGCCCCCGGCUAAACUUCGUGCCAGCAGCCG